Long non-coding RNA from Solanum stenotomum, 1385 nucleotides. RefSeq lists it as uncharacterized. NCBI's taxonomy places the organism in Eukaryota, Viridiplantae, Streptophyta, Magnoliopsida, Solanales, Solanaceae. The record is from RefSeq and is a predicted model, not a curated record. The transcript is spliced from 7 exons.
UUCUUUCUUGUGAGGGCAUGCAAGUUGAAAUAUUAAUGAUUUUUAAAAUUCUUAAUUGAGUCAAGUGAGCUAAUGAGUUGAGUCAUUUCUUGAGUUUGAGUUGUUGUCACUUAAAUGAUUCUUGAUUUUUUAUAAUGUUUCAUGUGAAUGAGAGGAUUUCUUUUGUGGAAAGUUUUCAUGUGGACUAUUUGUUGUUACCAACCGACGCCAUUACCUUUGUGCUUAAUUGAGAAAUGGAAAUUGAUUUGUGGUGUAUCUUGAAAUAGGAAUCUCUUAUGUUUUUUGACUUUCUUGACUUGAUGAAAAACAAACUUUCUAAGUUGGGGUGUUGAUUUGUGGUAGAUUUCUACUCAUUUGAGUCUUUUUUUCGUAGUUAUUUUGGCUUUUAGUUUAUAAUUGUUGCUUUUUGAUGUGAUUUUGCACGAAAAUGAAAUGGAGAGUUCGUACAAAAUGUUGAACAUGCAAGGUUAGCACCAUUUGAUUGUUGGCUUUGUUUUAGAGGAACCAAAACAAUGGAAGAAAAUGCUUCUACCGUCUUCAAUUUUUCACGUGUCGGAGUUUGUGGAUGCUAUUUGGGUUGCUCUGUGUAUCCAAUGUUGGCUGUUCGGGAGAAGGUUGUUUAGACAUUGCGUGCCUGCCUUCUUGUUAUUGAAAAGCGUGAGGCACGACGGCGUGUUCAGUGGUAUUAUCGAAUGUUUGAGGCUACCCAAGAUGGAUCGCGGAGAAUCGCUCCUGUUAAUAGUAUAAUUGGAUCUCUUCUCGCAGUCGGGGAGCCGCUAAGGAAGUAAAAAGGAGAUUGAAAUAGAAAGAACACAGAAUGCUGCACUUUACUUUAGGGCACAUUUAUUUUUAUUUGGAUUUGUGUGGAAGAAGAUCAGCAGAUAUACUCCUAAGUCUUUUUUCUGUUUCAGCCUUAGAAGGAUGGGUCUGCAUUGGCUUUGAGGCAUCUUGUAGAGGUAGAAGCUCGGGAUCUUAGUGGAGAAGGAACACAGGGGAGUUCAUGAUGUCAAUAUACAGGGAGGUUGCUGAAAUUGUUCUAAGAUACCUGGAGCACCAAGUACUUGAAAUCGAGCUUCAUGUUGCAUCACGGGAUAAACAACUACUUCAAUCACAAACAGCUAGCUAAAAAAGUUAUACAUAGAGGUGUUGACUCUUGCAACAUUCAAAAAAUACAUUGUCUUUGUCUGAAGUUGAGAGUCACGACAAAAACGAAAGUGUGCUUCCAAGUUCUGAUCCUUUGUUAGCUAAAUGAAAAUCAUAAGAAGUCAAAUUUUCACUACAUGCUUCCGCGGCUACAAAAACAACUACUUACACCUCUUAUCUUUGAAUUAGGUGAGUCGGCAGAAUUGAAAAUUUCUUUUAAUCUAAUAAGUUUUAUGUCUAAA